RNAcentral lists this ribosomal RNA (253 nucleotides) under uncultured bacterium. RNAcentral's name for it is "partial 16S ribosomal RNA". It matches the Rfam family "Bacterial small subunit ribosomal RNA", at positions 524 to 776 of the family's 1533-position model. The record is from RNAcentral.
UACAGGGGGUGCAAGCGUUAUUCGGAUUUACUGGGCGUAAAGAGCGUGUAGGCUGUUUGUUAAGUCUGGUGUGAAAGCCCUGGGCUCAAUCCAGGAAGUGCAUUGGAUACUGGCAGACUAGAGUACGGGAGAGGAUGGCGGAAUUCCUGGUGUAGAGGUGAAAUUCGUAGAUAUCAGGAGGAACAACAGUGGCGAAGGCGGCCAUCUGGACCGUUACUGACGCUAAGGCGCGAAAGCGUGGGGAGCAAACAGG